UACGGAGGGAGCAAGCGUUGUUCGGAAUUACUGGGCGUAAAGGGCGCGUAGGCGGUCUUAUAAGUUAGGCGUGAAAGCCCUGGGCUUAACCUAGGAAUUGCGCUUAAGACUGUAGGACUAGAGUACGAGAGAGGAAAGUGGAAUUUCCAGUGUAGAGGUGAAAUUCGUAGAUAUUGGAAAGAACACCAGUGGCGAAGGCGACUUUCUGGCUCGUAACUGACGCUGAGGCGCGAAAGCGUGGGGAGCAAACAGG
RNAcentral lists this ribosomal RNA (253 nucleotides) under uncultured bacterium. RNAcentral describes it as "partial 16S ribosomal RNA". It matches the Rfam family "Bacterial small subunit ribosomal RNA", at positions 524 to 776 of the family's 1533-position model. The record is from RNAcentral.